This is a long non-coding RNA of Pogoniulus pusillus (Red-fronted tinkerbird), 950 nucleotides long. RefSeq lists it as uncharacterized. Lineage: Eukaryota; Metazoa; Chordata; Aves; Piciformes; Lybiidae. The record is from RefSeq and is a predicted model, not a curated record. The transcript is spliced from 5 exons.
UCAGUACUUAGGAGAGGGGCUGGCUGAGUAAGCUGAACAGGACCUUAGUCCUGGGGAAGGAGGAAGCUUAGCUGCAUCUGGAAGUUUCCAGUAACAUCUUUGUCUUCUAAGGUCCUACUGUACAGCGCAUGAUGGCUGAUACAAAACAGGAAGCUCCCAAGAGUCUUCUUCCAAGCCAGGUGUUGAAGGUGGAGGUGGAGGCAAGCAGAAAUACUGCAGCUCUCUUCAGUGAGACCCUGGUCAGAUGUCCUCUCAGCCUUCUCUUCACCAGACUGAACAGUGCCAGAGUUCUCAGUCUGUCUUCUCAGCAGAGAUGUUCAAGUCCCUCAGUCAUCCUGUCACAUUUUUAGAGAAGGAGCUGCUGGCCAUGAAGAAGCAUGCAAGGAAAUGAAUAGCUUUCACCUCCCCUCGCUUCAGAGCUGAGCUGCUCUCCCUUUGACAGCUGAGCCCAGAGUCUGUUUGCCACUGAGCCUGAUGAAAAUAAGUGGAAAAUCUAUUAACUCUUUUGCUCUCUGCUGCUUCUGGAUCUAAGCAUGCACCACAUGAGGAAGAUGGCAGAGGACCUGCUGCUUGACAAACAUCCAUUCAGAGGGACACAAAAGGGACACUAUGGGUGGCAUUCCUUUUUGCUGAUCUUGCCCAUGAGUCAGAGAAGGAGCCUGGGUGAGUUCACUGAAAACAUGGUUGCUGGGGAUGUAAAAGGCUACAAAACUGUCAUGUGCAUCACUGACCUAUACUGAAAGAAUUCCUCUUUGAGUCUUGUGGCAGUGGAGCUACAGCUGUACAAAACUGGAAUAUCCAAAUUCUUUUCUUCUGUUCUUGUUUCCUUUUGAGCUAACAAGUGGGUAAGUAGCAGAAAAUCAAUGAGACACAGGCAAGCAGUUAACAUUGUAAACUAAUGUGGCCAUAACCAAUAAAAGGGGCAAUAAAUGGGCAUGCAAGAGCAGUUA